Non-coding RNA from Psammomys obesus (fat sand rat), 579 nucleotides. The record is from the annotation of a RefSeq genome assembly. NCBI's taxonomy places the organism in Eukaryota, Metazoa, Chordata, Mammalia, Rodentia, Muridae.
AUGACAGUAAAGAUGGACUUUUCUUCAGGCUUCGUGGCUACGCUGAUUCUCAUACUAGGAAGGACCCAUGGAGAUUCCAUGACUCAAACAGGAGGCCAAGUGACCAUCUCAGAAGGCGAGUUCCUGACAAUAAAUUGCACAUAUUCAACCACAAGUAUAGCAUAUGCUGCUCUUUCCUGGUAUGUCCUAUAUCCUGGAGAAGGCCCGAAUCUCCUCCUGAAAGUCAUCACAGCUGGCGAGAAGGGAAGCAGCAGAGGGUUUGAAGCCACAUAUGAUAAAGGAACCACCUCCUUCCACUUGCAGAAAGCCUCGGUGCAAGAGUCAGACUCGGCUGUGUACUACUGUGCUCUGGGUGACACAGUGGCAGACAUUGCAGGGGGAGCUGAGCACAAACCGAGAGGAAACAGGUGGCCUGGCUGCUGCGCACCUGCCUCUGAAAUCACUGACUUCAGCACAGCCGUCCCUGUGAGGUCUUCCAUGUCUCUGCUGGUGAAAAUCACAGCAAUGUCUGCAUGCCAGGCCACAUCAACUUCACAAAUCAGUAGAAAAAUGAAGACGGCUCCGGGGUCAUGGCUGUAA